This 160-nucleotide ribosomal RNA is filed under the name uncultured eukaryote. RNAcentral describes it as "partial 18S ribosomal RNA". It matches the Rfam family "Eukaryotic small subunit ribosomal RNA", at positions 1299 to 1458 of the family's 1831-position model. The record is from RNAcentral.
UGGUGGAGUGAUUUGUCUGGUUAAUUCCGUUAACGAACGAGACCUUAACCUAUUAAAUAGUUAGUAAUUGAACAUGUUUUCAUUAUGUUAACAUCUGUUCUGCUAACUUCUUAGAGGGACUCUUCACUGAGAGAGUGAAUGGAAGUUUGAGGCAAAAACA